UACGUAGGGUGCAAGCGUUGUCCGGAAUUAUUGGGCGUAAAGAGCUCGUAGGCGGUCUGUCGCGUCGGAUGUGAAAACCCAGGGCUCAACCCUGGGCCUGCAUUCGAUACGGGCAGACUAGAGUUCGGUAGGGGAGACUGGAAUUCCUGGUGUAGCGGUGAAAUGCGCAGAUAUCAGGAGGAACACCGGUGGCGAAGGCGGGUCUCUGGGCCGAAACUGACGCUGAGGAGCGAAAGCGUGGGGAGCGAACGGG
Molecule: ribosomal RNA, 253 nt
Filed under: uncultured bacterium
Lineage: Bacteria
Description: partial 16S ribosomal RNA
Rfam family: Bacterial small subunit ribosomal RNA
Source: RNAcentral